AGAGCGAACGCUGGCGGCAGGCUUAACACAUGCAAGUCGAGCGGGCGUAGCAAUACGUCAGCGGCAGACGGGUGAGUAACGCGUGGGAACGUACCUUUUGGUUCGGAACAACCCAGGGAAACUUGGGCUAAUACCGGAUAAGCCCUUACGGGGAAAGAUUUAUCGCCGAAAGAUCGGCCCGCGUCUGAUUAGCUAGUUGGUGGGGUAAUGGCCCACCAAGGCGACGAUCAGUAGCUGGUCUGAGAGGAUGAUCAGCCACAUUGGGACUGAGACACGGCCCAAACUCCUACGGGAGGCAGCAGUGGGGAAUAUUGGACAAUGGGCGCAAGCCUGAUCCAGCCAUGCCGCGUGAGUGAUGAAGGCCCUAGGGUUGUAAAGCUCUUUUGUGCGGGAAGAUAAUGACGGUACCGCAAGAAUAAGCCCCGGCUAACUUCGUGCCAGCAGCCGC
RNAcentral lists this ribosomal RNA (448 nucleotides) under uncultured bacterium. RNAcentral describes it as "SSU rRNA". It matches the Rfam family "Bacterial small subunit ribosomal RNA", at positions 26 to 518 of the family's 1533-position model. The record is from RNAcentral.